AUCCAGUUGACGAGUCCCAAAUAGGACGAAACGCGCAUUCUGGAU
Schistosoma mansoni is the source of this 45-nucleotide non-coding RNA. Lineage: Eukaryota; Metazoa; Platyhelminthes; Trematoda; Strigeidida; Schistosomatidae. The record is from Rfam.